GACUGGAUUAACUACUCUGGACCACGCUGGGGAUAAACGAAGACUUUCCGAGAAGAUUUUUUUCUUUGCAUGCAAUGUUAAGAAGUAAGGCUUUUUAUAAUGGGAUUGUUAGAGACAUCAAAGGCCCAUUGAAGGAAAACUCUUUUCUUCUGGUUAUGGGAGUGAAAUCUAUGGCCUGAGUGAGACCUAAUGUUGCAGCUGGAGUGGAAGGAUGAUGGAUAUCCACAAGGAAGAUGCUACCUCAGACUCAGUAGAGCUUCAUCAUUAAUGAGUAAUUUAUGGAUGGCGAAUGCUUUUCUUUUCAGAAAAGCACUUAAGCACACCUGGUUUCUAAUCCACCAACUGCAACAAUGGGAGUCUCACUCUUAGACUCUUAGGAUUUUCCGAAGAUGCGAAAUCUAUGUCUUGCAAAAAGAACUAAUUUAAAAGCUGAACUUAAACAUCAUCAAGAUGACCCAUUUCAUGGCUUAAUAUCUGAAGUUAUUUCUGGUCUGGCUCCAGGGCUCUCCCAAGCUUUCAGCCUGAGUUCGAACUCCAGGAGCCACAUGGUAGAAGACAGCUGCCCUCUGAUCUCCAAAUGUAUCACAGGCCCACAAAACCAUAAACACACAAACCAACAAACCAACAAAAGUUUUUGUUUUGCUUCUGGUCCUCUUCUAAUGUGGGUGGUUUCCAGGGCCCACAAGUGGCAUCUCUGGGAAGGAGGUUCUACCCAUGCAGAGUCUCUCCCUGGACUUGAAGCGGACUGGUUGGCCAAGAUGCAUUGGUAAGUAAGCUCCAGAGAUCUGCUUAUUUCUACACGGCCUCACUCCCAGCAUAAGGGUUACAAGCCCAAGUCAUUGCGCCUGACUUUUACAUUGUUCUGGGGUCUGAAUACAGGUCCUCACAGCAGCGCAGUGAGCACACCAUCCACUGAACAUCUCUGUAGCUCAUGUUCUCAUUUCAAAAUGAAGUAGAUAUUUGGAAUGUGCCUCACCAAGCUUUAUUUUAAUACUGACAAGUUGGGGAAGGUUUUGGAGAUUGUGUGGGUAAGAGUUUUUUUUUUUCUUUUUAAUGUUAUUUUUGUCCAGACUUUUUGCAGAUGAGGGCCAAACCUACAAAAGAACAUGUCACAUAGACUGCUAGAAGUAGCCCAACCCUCCAUGUCUGCCUCUUGAUAUCCUUUCCCUGGAGUGAUAGUCACUCAAGAAACAGAGAUAAGGGAAAAAUUCCAGAGUCAGAGAAAGGAAAGUGAAUAGAGAUAAGAAGGGGGCGGGGCUACCAGGAGGGCGGAUCUCCCCAUCUUCCCUCCCCUAUCCCCCAGGCAUCUUGGGGCUUCUCAUCAAGCUUUUAUCAUUGGCAGAGAAACUGGAGAGGGGGCGUGGUGGUUGGCUUUCUCAGAAGUUGAUCCCUGUAGUUCUUCACACAUACCUUCAACUUCUGUGGGAGAAGUGUUCACACAGCGUACAGAAUUGCUCUACUCUCCUGUCCUUUAUCUCUACUGCUGUUGUGCCUCAAGUUCUCUCAUCCAAGAUGGUGGGGAGGCUAAAUUGAGUGGGCUGAUGCAGCUUGCAAUCAGAUGAACCCUGCACUGUUUUCAGGAACUGUGGUGGAGAGCUGUCUUGUAAUUAUUCUGAACAUGACAUUUUCAGAUUUGAUUAACCUCAUGUGGUCAGUGGAUAAGCUUUAUGAUGAAGGUUAUUGGCUUUAAAAAAAAUCAACA
Non-coding RNA from Rattus norvegicus (Norway rat), 1702 nucleotides. NCBI's taxonomy places the organism in Eukaryota, Metazoa, Chordata, Mammalia, Rodentia, Muridae. The record is from RefSeq and is a predicted model, not a curated record.